CUUGGGUAUUCAUCUUGCUCUCUCUUUCUCACACACUCUCAGAAGAGUAUGUGAGAGACACAGUUGGCUUCCGUUCUACUCUGUGAAAUGAUUGACACACUGGUUAGUGAUUUGCAUGGGCCUGGAAAAUAAGAGAAGGGGUUGGGCCAGACAGAACUAACUCAUUAGGAGCCUGCCUGUCUGGGCUGAAGUCAGAUGUAGAGGAGUUUAGAUCCAGACUUCACUUUGUCAUCUGGACUCUCUCUGUUGGAAGAUGAUGCUUUCUACGGAUACUCUCUAAGGACCAUCUCUAGACACACUGCGCACACAAAUGUACACAUACUCACACACACGUGUUGGAGAUGAGCGUCAAUUGGGGUUCGGAUCAGUCACAGUGCUUGUGAUUGGCUGGAGCAAGCUGUUAUGUCAUCUCUGAUGCUGCUGUUGCCUCUGCUGCUGUUUCUCGGGUUAAGGGUCAUCAACGCAGCUGCAGAGACAUGGAGACAAUGCAGAGACCUGCCCCCCUGGACCUUCUGUCCCGUGUUCUUCCCAGGGCAGGGGGCGAGGGGGGUAACAGGGAGGGGAGGGGGGGGGGGUGCGUCUGAUCCAGUCUGGGGGUGUGAGGGGUGUCCGUCUGUCCCGUUCUCACCCUUCCCUGGACUUCCUGUCCUCCCAGCACCUCGUCAACUGUCACCUCUUCCCCAGAGAGUUCUCCAUCAUCACCAGAAAGGUCAGCCUCGUCGCCCCUAAGGUAAUACCAACCACACCAUAGACAGUGUGGUCUACAAGUGAGACCGUGGUACGCAGCUAUUUGAACCACACCAGGCCCUGCGGACCUCUGGGACUUACUACUGGGAGGCCUUCGCGGUCACCCUACCACUUCCUGGCUUUGGCGAACUCGUUCGAUGGACAGACCACUCACGUUGACUCGGUCAUCUAUGUCUGGGUGGAUGGAAGUUUCCACUCGUUUCAGACUAUUAAGGAGAGAGAGAGAGAGAUGAAGGUGAAGUAGAAGGAAAAGAGAAUAAGGAAGAGGGGGAGGACAAGGGGGA
This 1031-nucleotide long non-coding RNA is filed under the name Salmo trutta (river trout). Its description in RNAcentral is "lncRNA (ENSSTUG00000044150.1)". The record is from RNAcentral. Lineage: Eukaryota; Metazoa; Chordata; Actinopteri; Salmoniformes; Salmonidae.